GACGAACGCUGGCGGCGUGCUUAACACAUGCAAGUCGAACGGAAAGGCCCUGCUUUUGUGGGGUGCUCGAGUGGCGAACGGGUGAGUAACACGUGAGUAACCUGCCCUUGACUUUGGGAUAACUUCAGGAAACUGGGGCUAAUACCGGAUAGGAGCUCCUGCUGCAUGGUGGGGGGUGGAAAGUUUCGGCGGUUGGGGAUGGACUCGCGGCUUAUCAGCUUGUUGGUGGGGUAGUGGCUUACCAAGGCUUUGACGGGUAGCCGGCCUGAGAGGGUGACCGGCCACAUUGGUACUGAGAUACGGCCCAGACUCCUACGGGAGGCAGCAGUGGGGAAUAUUGCACAAUGGGCGGAAGCCUGAUGCAGCAACGCCGCGUGCGGGAUGACGGCCUUCGGGUUGUAAACCGCUUUCGCCUGUGACGAAGCGUGAGUGACGGUAAUGGGUAAAGAAGCACCGGCUAACUACGUG
RNAcentral lists this ribosomal RNA (468 nucleotides) under uncultured bacterium. RNAcentral's name for it is "partial 16S ribosomal RNA". It matches the Rfam family "Bacterial small subunit ribosomal RNA", at positions 28 to 507 of the family's 1533-position model. The record is from RNAcentral.